GAUGAAGAACGUAGCGAAAUGCGAUAAGUAAUGUGAAUUGCAGAAUUCAGUGAAUCAUCGAAUCUUUGAACGCACAUUGCGCCCGCCAGUAUUCUGGCGGGCAUGCCUGUUCGAGCGUCAUUACAACCCUCAGGCCCCCGGGCCUGGCGUUGGGGAUCGGCGGAGCCCCCCGUGGGCACACGCCGUCCCCCAAAUGCAGUGGCGGUCCCGCCGCAGCUUCCAUCGCGUAGUAGCUAACACCUCGCGACUGGAGAGCGGCGCGGCCACGCCGUAAAACACCCAACUUCUGAACGUUGACCUCGAAUCAGGUAGGACUACCCGCUGAACUUAAGCAUAUCAAUAAGCGGAGGA
RNAcentral lists this unclassified non-coding RNA (351 nucleotides) under soil metagenome. RNAcentral describes it as "partial contains 5.8S ribosomal RNA, internal transcribed spacer 2, and large subunit ribosomal RNA". The stretch from base 1 to 120 matches the Rfam family "5.8S ribosomal RNA", at positions 35 to 154 of the family's 154-position model. The record is from RNAcentral.